RNAcentral lists this long non-coding RNA (1554 nucleotides) under Olea europaea subsp. europaea. Lineage: Eukaryota; Viridiplantae; Streptophyta; Magnoliopsida; Lamiales; Oleaceae. The record is from RNAcentral.
CUCUUCUUCCCCACAUACAAAACCCUCUCUCACCGCACACAAUCGAACCAAAACCAAAAAGAUGAAAGAAGAAACCUGAUAAAAGGAACAAGAAACCAAAUACUCACACAACCGAACCAAGAAGAAAGAAAAAAAUCAAGGACUCGAUCGAAUCACUACUUCCAUAUCUGCCCUAUUCACUACAAAAGGUCGACAACGGGCUGUUGAUUGCAUUGAUUAAGGUUUAUUUCACAAUACUUUCAGAAAAAUUGCGAAUGUAUGAUCUUCCAUGUGAAUGUAUUUUAUGUAUUCCGUUUCGAAUUCUAAAAAUUGUGAAUGUAUAUAUUAGAUUGCUCUGCUUGUUUCUUCUCUACAGAAAGUAUGUAAAAAUAUGAUGUCAUACAUAAAUUUAUCAGACUGCUUUGCUGGUUUUUCAUCUAUAUUUUAUAUCUAUGAUUCACAACAAAUUGGUACUGUAUUGACAAAUGCUACCCAGCGAGGACUAAUGAGAUCUUCAAGGUUCAAAAACCCCCUCAACAACCUCAGAUUUUAGAGACAAAGAACGAGAGAGAGGACCUUGCCAUUUACUUUCUUCACCGUCAAAAUACGUACUAACCAGCUUGGAUUAUGAGCUUUUUUAGAUGAAGUCGGUGUCAAGCUUGUCUAAUCCGUGCUUCUCUGUCUUUAGUAUUUCUCCUUUUUAAAUUGAGAACGAGUGCUUCACUCUCUAACAAUUGUUUUUAAAUGAUUUUAUUUGAUAGUCCUACCCUAACCUCAUCAUGGAAAUACAACUAAUUACACUCAUUAUCAACAAUAGUUUAAUGUGAUUAUUGCUGCCUAUUAUCUUUCUUAGGAUGAAAUCAGUUAAGUUGGUAUGCUUACAUGGUUAUUGGCAUGAGAUUUAAAUGCAUUAGCUUAUUUACUCAAAAACUGUUUGUUUUCUUGUUAUUUUAUGGAAGAACAUCGUUUUUACUGCAUUUGGCUGAAUAUGGUAGGGGAUGAAGAUGUUGGAAGAUUAUUAUUAAUCUUUUACAGGAGAUCGCGCUGUAACCAGUAAUGACAAUUUAUCCCUUAUUGCUAGUAAGUAAAAGAUCAUAACAUUAAAAAAAUAAAAUAAAAUAAUAAUAAUAAUAAUAAAUUACAUAAUUCAUAUUAUAUGAAAGAUCCUAACAAGUCUUUUUUUUCUUAGAUGAAAAUAUGAAUGAAGUUGAUGGUCAAAACAAGGAUAUAGAUCCAAGUCCAGUUCGCGCUCCUAAGCAUAAGGUCGAAGGAGGAACCCACAAAAUUCGACGACGACGACGUACCCAGUCCAAUGAUGAGAGUCUCACUGCCCUAUCAAGCAUUGCUAAAUUAUCUAAAAAAAUUGCCAAUGCUAUGGAGAUUCAAGCAACGUUGAUACGCUAAACCAAAUCACUUGGCAAUUGGGUUUUUAGAAAAAUUACAAAGCAUGAACAUUGAGAAGCGUGACAUAAUGCAAGUCAUGAAAGUAUUUCAAACAGAUGAGAGUCUAGCUAGAGUAUUUAUGAGCUUGAUUGAUAAAGAAUUCAUGUGUGAUUUGGUUUUUGGAAAUAUUAG